GAUGAACGCUGGCGGCGUGCCCAAUACAUGCAAGUCGAGCGAACAGAUGAGGAGCUUGCUCCUCUGACGUUAGCGGCGGACGGGUGAGUAACACGUGGAUAACCUACCUAUAAGACUGGGAUAACUUCGGGAAACCGGAGCUAAUACCGGAUAAUAUAUUGAACCGCAUGGUUCAAUAGUGAAAGACGGUUUUGCUGUCACUUAUAGAUGGAUCCGCGCCGCAUUAGCUAGUUGGUAAGGUAACGGCUUACCAAGGCAACGAUGCGUAGCCGACCUGAGAGGGUGAUCGGCCACACUGGAACUGAGACACGGUCCAGACUCCUACGGGAGGCAGCAGUAGGGAAUCUUCCGCAAUGGGCGAAAGCCUGACGGAGCAACGCCGCGUGAGUGAUGAAGGUCUUCGGAUCGUAAAACUCUGUUAUUAGGGAAGAACAAAUGUGUAAGUAACUAUGCACGUCUUGACGGUACCUAAUCAGAAAGCCACGGCUAACUACGCG
This 497-nucleotide ribosomal RNA is filed under the name uncultured bacterium. RNAcentral describes it as "partial 16S ribosomal RNA". It matches the Rfam family "Bacterial small subunit ribosomal RNA", at positions 28 to 507 of the family's 1533-position model. The record is from RNAcentral.